UAGUAGUCAUAUGUUAGUAUUCAAGAUUCAGCCAAGCAUGUGUAAGUGUAAAUAUACUAGUUUGGAACUGCGAAUGGCUCAUUAUAUCAGUUAUAGUUUAUUUGGUGAAGUGUACUACUUGGAUACCCGUAGUAAUUCUAGGGCUAAUACAUGAGAAAGUCCUCUGGUGAGGUGUGUUUAUUAGAAUGAAAACCAUAUGCUUCGGCAUGAUAGUGAGUAAUAGUAACCUAUCGUAUCGCAUGCUUAAUGUAGCGAUGAGUCUUUCAAGUUUCUGCCCUAUCAGCUUUCGAUGGUAGUAUAUGGGCCUACCAUGGCAGUAACGGGUAACGAAGAA
This 334-nucleotide ribosomal RNA is filed under the name Blastocystis sp. subtype 1. RNAcentral's name for it is "SSU rRNA". It matches the Rfam family "Eukaryotic small subunit ribosomal RNA", at positions 18 to 369 of the family's 1831-position model. The record is from RNAcentral. Lineage: Eukaryota; Bigyra; Opalinata; Blastocystidae.